This 523-nucleotide ribosomal RNA is filed under the name Leptodontidium sp. ca_besc_211d2. Its description in RNAcentral is "eukaryotic LSU rRNA". The stretch from base 205 to 358 matches the Rfam family "5.8S ribosomal RNA". Lineage: Eukaryota; Fungi; Ascomycota; Leotiomycetes; Helotiales; Leptodontidiaceae. The record is from RNAcentral.
CUUGCUCCCUGGGGCUACCCUACUUCGGUAAGGUUUAGAGUCGUCGGGCCUCUCGAAGAAGCUCGGUCCUGAACUCCACCCUUGAAUAAAUUACCUUUGUUGCUUUGGCGGGCCGCCUCGUGCCAGCGGCUUCGGCUGUUGCGUGCCCGCCAGAGGACCACAACUCUUGUUUUUAGUGAUGUCUGAGUACUAUAUAAUAGUUAAAACUUUCAACAACGGAUCUCUUGGUUCUGGCAUCGAUGAAGAACGCAGCGAAAUGCGAUAAGUAAUGUGAAUUGCAGAAUUCAGUGAAUCAUCGAAUCUUUGAACGCACAUUGCGCCCUCUGGUAUUCCGGGGGGCAUGCCUGUUCGAGCGUCAUUAUAACCACUCAAGCUCUCGCUUGGUAUUGGGGUUCGCGGUCUCGCGGCCCCUAAAAUCAGUGGCGGUGCCUGUCGGCUCUACGCGUAGUAAUACUCCUCGCGAUUGAGUCCGGUAGGUUUACUUGCCAGCAACCCCUAAUUUUUACAGGUUGACCUCGGAUCA